This 312-nucleotide long non-coding RNA is filed under the name Mytilus galloprovincialis (Mediterranean mussel). Lineage: Eukaryota; Metazoa; Mollusca; Bivalvia; Mytilida; Mytilidae. The record is from RNAcentral.
CUUUUCUCUAAAAUAUUUAGUGUAGCGGAACGUGGGGGAGGAGGUCACAUUUGUAAGCAGUUAAUUCCAUUGCGUAAUUGAUAAAGGGAAAAAAAGGGGUCAUAUUGCAUAUUGUGGGGAAAAUUUGGUUGAUUAUUCAGGGAAUCACUGUCAAAGCAUGACUGGACCGGUCCUCCUUAAACAGUCAGAAGGCCACCCCUUACAAAAAUUUCUCAAGUCUUUAGUAACGUAGCUUGAUUACUGAGGGCAUGCAGUCAUAAUAUAUAUCAGUGAUACUUCUUAAUUUUCUGAUACGGCAUGAAAUGUCAUUUC